UACGUAGGGUGCAAGCGUUAAUCGGAAUUACUGGGCGUAAAGAGCUCGUAGGCGGUGUGUCGCGUCGGCCGUGAAAACCUGCAGCUUAACUGUGGGCUUGCGGUCGAUACGGGCAUCACUGGAGUUCGGCAGGGGAGACUGGAAUUCCUGGUGUAGCGGUGAAAUGCGCAGAUAUCAGGAGGAACACCGGUGGCGAAGGCGGGUCUCUGGGCCGAUACUGACGCUGAGGAGCGAAAGCGUGGGGAGCGAACAGG
This 254-nucleotide ribosomal RNA is filed under the name uncultured bacterium. RNAcentral's name for it is "partial 16S ribosomal RNA". It matches the Rfam family "Bacterial small subunit ribosomal RNA", at positions 524 to 776 of the family's 1533-position model. The record is from RNAcentral.